AUUGAACGCUGGCGGCAGGCCUAACACAUGCAAGUCGAGCGAGCGGCGGACGGGUGAGUAAUGCCUGGGAAUUGCCCAGUCGAGGGGGAUAACAGUUGGAAACGACUGCUAAUACCGCAUACGAUUGGAAUGACCAGGUGGUAUUAGCUAGUGGGUGAGGGAAUGUCUCACCAAGGCGACGAUCCCUAGCUGUGCUGAGGGGAUGAUCAGCCACAUUGGAACUUAGACACGGUCCAGACUCCUACGGGAGGCAGCAGUGGGGCAUAUUGCACAAUGGGGUAAACCCUGAUGCAGCCAUGCCGCGUGUGUGAAGAAGGCCUUCGGGUUGUAAAGCACUUUCAGCGAGGAGGCGUUACUCGCAGAAGAAGCACCGGCUAACUCCGUGCCAGCAGCCGCGGUAAUUC
This 404-nucleotide ribosomal RNA is filed under the name uncultured bacterium. RNAcentral's name for it is "partial 16S ribosomal RNA". It matches the Rfam family "Bacterial small subunit ribosomal RNA", at positions 30 to 526 of the family's 1533-position model. The record is from RNAcentral.